AGCGCUUAAAGAGGUUAUUCCUUACCAGAUCCUUUAGGACCUACCUGUACACCAGAUUCUUCAGACCGCAGCUGUAGUCAGGUCAUUAAUCUUCAUGGGACAAAUUACCACCGGCAGCUCAACAGAGUGGCACUGAUGGACUGGGGAGACAACAAAGCCACUCUGGCAUAACUGAGAGGAGCAUUUUCCUUGUAUCCUCUGCAACUUCUUCCUUGAAUUUCCCCAUAUUUCCUUUUUCUUUUUUUUUUCUUUUUUUUGUGCAAUUUAUUAGAAUUUAUUAUUUUUAAUUAAUGUAUAUUUAGCAUGAUUUAUUCAAACUCACAUUGAGCCAUCCACUGCUGAACAACAUGACCACUGUGACUGCAAAUUGACAAAGCAGUUUUGACAGGGUAUCUUUUCUGCACACAGUUCUGCAAGAAUAGCAGAACUAUUCUGAUAAAAGAGGAGCAGAAGAAGUCUUACAAUAUUUAAAAAUUACACAGGGUCCUGGUAUAGCAAUAGAGGCAAAAUAUUAAAAUAAAAAACUGUCAGCUGAAUUCAGGGGGGGAUUGUCAUGAUGAAAAUGUGAGCUCUCGAGGAAUGCAACAGCAAUGCAGGAAGAUGAGUUCCAACUUAAAAAAAAACCAGAUUUUAAAAGAUUUUAAAAUCAAAUUAUAAACAGAAUACUAAAACAUCUAUUUCAUUUUCCCAGACAGAAAUUAUGCUCUUUUCGGUAUGUUGUGAUAUAUGCACAAAUUAACUCCAGGUCACAUUUGCUUUUGUCUUUAAGCUUAAGGGGAUGAAAUACUCCAGCCUUUUCUUUAACCUAUAGCAUAACAGUAAAAGGCACUGAUGAGGUCACAAGAGUACAUAAUAAGUGAUCAGUAAAGAAAAUGGUGGCAUACAUUGCUUUUCCCUUGCUGUACUUAGUUCUCUGGAAAAUGAUCAACAGUAGCUUGCAGCUAAAUCAUACCCUAUUUUUCUGUUAUCAAAUGGGGUUAAAAAGUCAUGUAAAUAAAUAUACAUGAACUAAACAGAAACAGCUGGAAAGUUCCCAGAAGGGACCUCUAACAACCUCCAAGUUGGAUGGACCAUGGUAGAUCAAGGGAUCAUCAUUAAGAUUAAAGGCUUACACCAAACCUGCUGUGAAAUUCAAACUGCUGAAUUUAAACUUUGAUGGCACAAACUAGAAAGUACUAAAUGGUGGUAUUUAUUAAUUCUUAAAAAGCCAGAUGAUGAGAGGGCUGUUACAUUAUCUGCAUUCCAAAUGUGCAUGGUGCAAUUUGUUGAGAUUAAAAAAAUCUGUAGAUACCUCCUGUGAAAGUCAAACAUUUCAGGCAAACUCAUUCUUGUAUUGGUUUCCUGGAGAAAAAAAAAAAUAUCAGCAUCAUUAGUGCUUUUGGGGUUUCUUUUAAGGGCUUCAGACCAACUUCAUUAGAAAAACACACCAUAGAAGUGACUGGAGCUAAAUCUUAAGUCUUGGAGGAAGGAGCUUUUUUACCUUGGUUGACCUGUGCUAUUCCAAAUCUAUUUGAUGGCAUUAUGCUCCUGUGCCUAACAAAUAACUAAGAUGACAGCUGUCUGAGACUGAAAGCAUUACUCAGUGUCUCACCAUCCUUGUGGGAUACCUUCUCCCUGAAUUGUUUUUCUAAACUAAGUUAGAGAAAUGUUCUACAAGUCCCCUGCAAAGGAGAGGUUUGGCGUCUCUGCUGCAGGGAGAUGUUCACACUGUUUACACUGCACGCUGAGUCUCUGCACAGAUGCCACUCUCUAACUCACUCAGCACUUCUCAGCUAAGAUCUGUUACCAGCCACAAGGUCCAAAUGUUUGAAAUCUCAACAAUCUCUCUGGAGUGAAUGAACAAAAGAAAGCUCCCUUCUUUUUAGAGAGCUUGGAAGAAGCUUCCCUGCACAGAUCCCUCCAUUCUGCCUAUCUGGAAUAUGUUCUUGGAAGAUAAACUGAUACAAACAGACAGCAAAGCACCUUUGAAGAAGCCCACUCUUACUAACAGGAAAGAUAAAAACAACCACUUGACUUUAAGUGGAAAAGAGCCUUAGUUACACUAGGAGCCCACCCUGUCUUUCUGGAUUAUCUUGCUUAAAGAAGUAUUUUCAGAAAACAAGAAUAAAGUGUUUCAAGGAGUGUUUUUACAAGUGUUGACUUAUUUUAUAACCAUCAAAGUGUAGUGUGUGGAAAUAAAAAGUAAGAAACAAAAUGUGCAAAAAAUCUUCAUAACCAGGUAUUUGUACUGCUCUUUUCACUCUGACUCCUGCCUAUAAAACAUGUAUCUGCUAUUAUCCUCCUGCCAGAUGAAGAGGCAAGGUUGUUAAAAGUGGUCUGCCAAGAAACUUUUAACUUCUGAGCACAUCAUCACAGCAGACAUAAGAUUUUUCCCUGAUGAGUGCAAAUUACUGUAGGACUGGUGGAUCUCCGGCACACAAAGAGCAAUACACUCUACCCUGCAUAGAAGAGUGAUUUUCACUUUGCAUGAUAACAAGCCUUUUGUAUUUUUUAAGUCACUAACAAAGUACCUCUGCAGGAGGCCGCUGUGUUAGUCUUCAUUAAAGGAUCCAGAUCGAUAGAUUAAGCAAAAA
Molecule: non-coding RNA, 2573 nt
Organism: Cyanistes caeruleus (blue tit)
Lineage: Eukaryota; Metazoa; Chordata; Aves; Passeriformes; Paridae
Source: RefSeq, a predicted model, not a curated record